UUUGUCCUACGGGAGGCAGCAGUGAGGAAUAUUGGUCAAUGGGCGGGAGCCUGAACCAGCCAAGUCGCGUGAGGGAAGACGGUCCUAUGGAUUGUAAACCUCUUUUGUCGGGGAGCAAAGAGGCCUCGUGAGGUCAAAAGCGAGAGUACCCGAAGAAAAAGCAUCGGCUAACUCCGUGCCAGCAGCCGCGGUAAUACGGAGGAUGCGAGCGUUAUCCGGAUUUAUUGGGUUUAAAGGGUGCGUAGGCGGGACGG
This 254-nucleotide ribosomal RNA is filed under the name uncultured bacterium. RNAcentral describes it as "partial 16S ribosomal RNA". It matches the Rfam family "Bacterial small subunit ribosomal RNA", at positions 333 to 583 of the family's 1533-position model. The record is from RNAcentral.